AUGGGUCUCCUACAUUGCAAUAGACUAAAAGAAUCAUUUGGACUCUUUGUUUGUCUCUUUGAUUUUGCUCUACAAUACGUUAUCAGCACUUCGCUCUCCAUUGAGACUAAAAGGCCAUCCGAGACAGGAGACUAUCGGCAGCGCUUGCCUACAGGAUCCAAUCACUCUGGAUGGAUACAGACAGAUCCAUUCCUUCUUGCCGGUCUUGAUACUCCACCCUUUGACGCAGACGUACUUGCAUCGGCGAUGAUGGCUGGCGCAGGACAUGGCUGCUUGGUGCGGCCCGCUACCGGCGCGAAGGGGCGCCAAGCCUGUGCGGCGGAUCUCGACCUCAGCGCUGCUCCUUCCGGCGUGAUUGCGUGA
RNAcentral lists this ribosomal RNA (363 nucleotides) under Triticum aestivum (bread wheat). RNAcentral's name for it is "partial small subunit ribosomal RNA". Lineage: Eukaryota; Viridiplantae; Streptophyta; Magnoliopsida; Poales; Poaceae. The record is from RNAcentral.